GGGAAUAUAGCUCAGUGGCAGAGCACGUGCUUAGCAUGCACAAGGUCCUGGAUUCAAUCCCCAGUAUGUCCG
Molecule: transfer RNA, 72 nt
Filed under: Camelus bactrianus (Bactrian camel)
Lineage: Eukaryota; Metazoa; Chordata; Mammalia; Artiodactyla; Camelidae
Also listed under: 2 other names
Rfam family: tRNA
About the family: Transfer RNA (tRNA) molecules are approximately 80 nucleotides in length. Their secondary structure includes four short double-helical elements and three loops (D, anti-codon, and T loops). Further hydrogen bonds mediate the characteristic L-shaped molecular structure. tRNAs have two regions of fundamental functional importance: the anti-codon, which is responsible for specific mRNA codon recognition, and the 3' end, to which the tRNAs corresponding amino acid is attached (by aminoacyl-tRNA synthetases). tRNAs cope with the degeneracy of the genetic code in two manners: having more than one tRNA (with a specific anti-codon) for a particular amino acid; and 'wobble' base-pairing, i.e. permitting non-standard base-pairing at the 3rd anti-codon position.
Source: Rfam by way of RNAcentral